This 497-nucleotide ribosomal RNA is filed under the name uncultured bacterium. Its description in RNAcentral is "partial 16S ribosomal RNA". It matches the Rfam family "Bacterial small subunit ribosomal RNA", at positions 29 to 523 of the family's 1533-position model. The record is from RNAcentral.
AUUGAACGCUGGCGGCAUGCCUUACACAUGCAAGUCGAACGGUAACGCGGGGCAACCUGGCGACGAGUGGCGAACGGGUGAGUAAUGUAUCGGAACGUGCCCAGUUGUGGGGGAUAACUGCUCGAAAGAGCAGCUAAUACCGCAUACGACCUGAGGGUGAAAGCGGGGGAUCGCAAGACCUCGCGCAAUUGGAGCGGCCGAUAUCAGAAAGGUAGUUGGUGGGGUAAAGGCUCACCAAGCCGACGAUCUGUAGCUGGUCUGAGAGGACGACCAGCCACACGGGGACGGAGACACGGCCCAGGCUCCUACGGGGGGCAGCAGUGGGGAAUUUUGGACAAUGGGCGCAAGCCUGAUCCAGCCAUGCCGCGUGCGGGAAGAAGGCCUUCGGGUUGUAAACCGCUUUUGUCAGGGAAGAAAAGGCUCCUGUUAAUACCGGGGGCUCAUGACGGUACCUGAAGAAUAAGCACCGGCUAACUACGUGCCAGCCGCCGCAGUAA